Molecule: long non-coding RNA, 1416 nt
Organism: Nycticebus coucang (slow loris)
Lineage: Eukaryota; Metazoa; Chordata; Mammalia; Primates; Lorisidae
Exons: 7
Source: RefSeq, a predicted model, not a curated record
CUUCUUUAUUUCUUUUUUUUAAUUUUACCCUCUAAGACUUGGACAGAAAAGCUCUUCUUAAAGAUAGCGCUCAUAACCUGUCUCUAAGCUCUGGGUGACUGCUGAUACGCCUUUGUCAGCAGUUUCAAUAGUCUUUCCUUUAAGGAGAAAUCUGGCUGUAUUACUCAUAAUUUGGAAGGAGUUUCACAUUCUGCUCCCCGCUGAAGCUGUCCCAGUGUUUGCUGACUUGCUGAGAGGAUUGACUGUUUCAAACUCUGUUGAGAAGAAAGCAAGAUUAAUCUUCCCGUUUGUUGCCCACCCUCCUCCAAACCAGUCUGGAGGAGUUUUAUGCAUAUGCAUUUUUAAAGAGUUGAGGGUAUAUACUUAAAAGGAACAUUUCCAAAUUAGCUUCUCUGGACAGGGAACAAUUAAAACUGGAGUAAUUCAUUUAUUCUAAUGGAGGCUCUGCAUAUUUUAACAUUAAACCCUGAAUCACUAAUGUUCUCCCUGCAAAUGGUCCGAGGUAAUUGGGAAGGUUUUGCCACUCCAUUAGAAGUGCUAAAAACUGUGUGACAGAGACAAAACUGUUCUGUCCUGAAGGCUGGAAUAUUUGGUUGGGAAUAUAAAGAAGCAAAAAUCAAGUGGAUUCAGAAUGAUGGGAGAGUGAAACGGUAGAAAUGGCCUUUUGUGCAGAUUCCUGACACAGUAGGACAUCCAGUAUCUUCCUUUUGCAGCCCAUUGCUAUACCCAUACCCUGCAGAGAAAGACUCUUAGACCAAAGAGGGUCUCACUGUGCUACUUGGGCUCAUGUGCAGUGCUGUCAUCAUAGUUCACUGCAGCUUUGAACUCCUGGCUCCAGUGAUCCUCCUGUCUCAGCCUCCCAAGUGACCAGACAACAGAGUCUCCAUUUGUCACUGUUGGAAGAGUGCUGUGCCAUCAUAGCUCACAGCAACCUCAAACUCCGGGGCUCAAGCAAUUCUCUUGCCUCAGCCUCCUGAGUGAUACCCUGAAGUUUUUCAAAGAAGCGGAGGAGACAUGAUGGCUGACUGAAGCCAGCUUUCCACGGAGGCUCCCAUCCAGUAGGAGAAUUAAAGGACAAAAAUUCAGAAAGUAACCUGGUGGAUUUGAGCUGCACUAAGAGAGAAGGUUGAAGAACGCAUGUCAACCCCGCUGAGAAGCUGCUGCAAAAAAGCCCAGUGAACACUAUGACUCACGGCACUGUGAUUCAUCACCCUGUUCAACACCACUCUCGGUUGCAUGCAUUUUCACUGCUGAAAUGGAGGCAGAGGAGAUCAAGGAGAAUGCACAAGUUGGUUGUGGAGGGGUAGAAUUAUCUUUUUGAGCAUCAGAUUUACAAACUUUAGUUCUGCACAUUGCUCAUAUGAUCUUAGAUAAUGGAAGGAAGGCAAUAAAAUAAAAAGGAAUAAAGUGACACUU